CUCCUCUCUUUCUCUUUCCAGACCUUUCCAUCCUCCAUGUCGGCACAAAGCGACACUAACACUCCAGCUGCUCUGAGGAUCCACACCGGCCACAAGAUGGCGCCCAACGCCAGGAAGAGAGGAGGUGACGUCAAUGUCUGCUGAAGGUCAUCAGUCCAACUGAGUGAUUCAGUUUGUUUUAAAAGCUGUGGUAAACUUGAAGUAUUUGUCAUUGCAGAGAGGUCACUGUGUCCUUGUGUAAAAAAAUAACUUAUGUAGGUAGUAGUGCAGGAUUUUAUUUUAUUUUUAUUUAUUGCAUUUAAAGAAAUAAGAUAACAGUAAUCCUGGAGGAACAGAUCAUAAAAAGAGAACAAGAAAAUGACAUAAUUGAGGAAGUUUUCAGAAGUUUGUUUUAGUAAAGAAAGCGAGGACAUUUAAAGUAGUUCUCCCCAAAGGUCAAGUAACAUUACAGAUUGACAAUGUCACUAAUAAUAAUAAUAAUACAUUUUAUUUAUAAUGCCCUUUUCAUCAAAAGAUCUCAAAGUGCUAUAAGUUAAAAACAAAUAAAGAUAAAAAAAAAAGGAAUGGAAGAGAAUAAAAACAAGAUGAGCAGUUAUUUAAAAGGAUUUAAACAAAAACAUCUAAGGGGGACCAAAAGCUUUGCUAAAAAAGAAAUGUCUUGAGACCUUUUUUAAAACAGUCAGUGGAUUGUGGUGCCCUCAAGGUGUCAGGGAGGGCAUUCCACAGAUGUGGGGCAGCAGCACAGAAGGCCCUGUCUCCCAUGGUCCUGAGUCUGGUUCUGGCUAUUUGGAGGAGGUUUGAGUGGACUACAGGAUAACAAACAAUUUUACAGUUACUUUAAGACAUUUACUGCACUGUAUUUGUUUUCUUCUCUUUUGUUUUCUCAGAAGCACACUAACAAGAAGGGAGAACUUACAAAGCAGAUGUAAGAGCUAUAAAUGAUCCAGAUUGUAUGAUGUGUUUGAACUGUGUAUAAUUAAAUGUUGCUGUGACAGAUAUUUUGCUGGAUAUAACCAUUACAUUAAAAGCUUUUUUUUUUUAUUUAAUUUUAUUUUUUAAUUUUUUUAAUGAAAUUGUGUCAAAGUUUACAGAAGUUGAAUGUUGCUCUGUUUGUGUCACUGGAAUUAAAAUAUGUCUGAAUUUAAUGCAGACUGAGAACAUUAAUAAAGUCACAUUUUAUCUCAUCA
Molecule: long non-coding RNA, 1187 nt
Organism: Epinephelus lanceolatus (giant grouper)
Lineage: Eukaryota; Metazoa; Chordata; Actinopteri; Perciformes; Serranidae
Source: RefSeq, a predicted model, not a curated record